CCUACGGGCGGCAGCAGUGGGGAAUAUUGGGCAAUGGGCGCAAGCCUGACCCAGCAACGCCGCGUGAAGGAAGAAGGCUUUCGGGUUGUAAACUUCUUUUCUGAGGGACGAAGAAAGUGACGGUACCUCAGGAAUAAGCCACGGCUAACUACGUGGCAGCAGCCGCGGUAAUACGUAGGUGGCAAGCGUUAUCCGGAUUUAUUGGGUGGAAAGGGCGUGUGCGCGGGAAGGCAAGUCAGAUGUGAAAACUCAGGGCUCAACCCUGAGCCUGCAGUUGAAACUGUUUUUCUUGAGUGCUGGGGAGGCAAUCGGAAUUCCGUGUGUAGCGGUGAAAUGCGUAGAUAUACGGAGGAACACCAGUGGCGAAGGCGGAUUGCUGGACAGUAACUGACGCUGAGGCGCGAAAGCGUGGGGAGCAAACAGGAUUAGAUACCCGAGUAGUC
Molecule: ribosomal RNA, 443 nt
Filed under: uncultured bacterium
Lineage: Bacteria
Description: partial 16S ribosomal RNA
Rfam family: Bacterial small subunit ribosomal RNA
Source: RNAcentral